Molecule: ribosomal RNA, 673 nt
Filed under: Escherichia coli
Lineage: Bacteria; Pseudomonadati; Pseudomonadota; Gammaproteobacteria; Enterobacterales; Enterobacteriaceae
Description: bacterial SSU rRNA
Rfam family: Bacterial small subunit ribosomal RNA
Source: RNAcentral
CCUGGGGAGUACGGCCGCAAGGUUAAAACUCAAAUGAAUUGACGGGGGCCCGCACAAGCGGUGGAGCAUGUGGUUUAAUUCGAUGCAACGCGAAGAACCUUACCUGGUCUUGACAUCCACGGAAGUUUUCAGAGAUGAGAAUGUGCCUUCGGGAACCGUGAGACAGGUGCUGCAUGGCUGUCGUCAGCUCGUGUUGUGAAAUGUUGGGUUAAGUCCCGCAACGAGCGCAACCCUUAUCCUUUGUUGCCAGCGGUCCGGCCGGGAACUCAAAGGAGACUGCCAGUGAUAAACUGGAGGAAGGUGGGGAUGACGUCAAGUCAUCAUGGCCCUUACGACCAGGGCUACACACGUGCUACAAUGGCGCAUACAAAGAGAAGCGACCUCGCGAGAGCAAGCGAACCUCAUAAAGUGCGUCGUAGUCCGGAUUGGAGUCUGCAACUCGACUCCAUGAAGUCGGAAUCGCUAGUAAUCGUGGAUCAGAAUGCCACGGUGAAUACGUUCCCGGGCCUUGUACACACCGCCCGUCACACCAUGGGAGUGGGUUGCAAAAGAAGUAGGUAGCUUAACCUUCGGGAGGGCGCUUACCACUUUGUGAUUCAUGACUGGGGUGAAGUCGUAACAAGGUAACCGUAGGGGAACCUGCGGUUGGAUCACCUCCUUACCUUAAAGAAGC